UGAGUGUGCUGAGCGGUUGCGCGUGCAUACUGAAAAGUUACACGUGAGGAAAGUCCGAGCUCCAGAGAGCAGUAUAACGGUCAAUGGCCGCCGAGGGUAACCUUAGGGAAAGUGCGACAGAAAGUAACCGCCGUGUUAGCGGCAAGGGUGGAAAGGCGAGGUAAGAGCUCACCAGCGUUUAGGGAACUAAAUGGCUACGUAAACCCUAUACGGAGCAACACCGUGAGUGCGCUUAAUGAAUUUGCUCGAUUCGCGCACAGAGGUGGCAGUGAGUUGGUAUGGUAACAUUCAACCAAGAUAGAUGAUCGCUUUUAACAGAAUUCGGCUUAUAGGCACACUUAUUAA
RNAcentral lists this RNase P RNA (345 nucleotides) under Oscillospiraceae bacterium. RNAcentral describes it as "RNase P RNA component class A". It matches the Rfam family "Bacterial RNase P class A". From Rfam's summary of the family: Ribonuclease P (RNase P) is a ubiquitous endoribonuclease, found in archaea, bacteria and eukarya as well as chloroplasts and mitochondria. Its best characterised activity is the generation of mature 5'-ends of tRNAs by cleaving the 5'-leader elements of precursor-tRNAs. Cellular RNase Ps are ribonucleoproteins. Lineage: Bacteria; Bacillati; Bacillota; Clostridia; Eubacteriales; Oscillospiraceae. The record is from RNAcentral.